AGCAGGGCCGCGCCUCAAGGUAUACGACGCGCCGACGCCGACAUCGCUGGCGUGGCGGAGAUCUCGCUGCCGAUCCAGGAUGUGCCCUGGGCGCACUUCCACCACCUCCCAGUACGCGUUGGAUGUGAACGUGGAGAGGGUGGAGGACAUGGUGACGCACCAGCGGCUGCUCGAGGAGGCUCGAUACCUGCAUCAUCGGCUUGCCUUGGCGGUGGGUGUCGUCCAGAUUGCAGUGAUACUAUCCAAGAUACAAAUAAAGGAUGGAGGCCAAGGGAGAUUGUGAUGUAGGAUGGUUGCAAAAUAAGAAGGUUUACAAUGUGUUGCAGCAACAUUUGUUAAAGAAGUCCUCUUCCAGCUCUAGACAAAUAUCUUUGGCGUGAUGCAAGGAUGGCAUCUACGCCUCACGACCUAUCGCUUUCUUGGGAAAAUGGAUUGAGAUUGAGAAAGGAAACAAAGAGCUCGUCUCAAGAAAGGUAUGGAUUUAGGUGCAGUUUAUGGACGCUUUAGAAAUUUUGUAGGCUGCUAGCCAUUUGACUGGUGUUUGGUUGAUAAAUUGUUAACUAAUUGAGUAGAUACUCACUAUCUUAGUUUGGUGAAAUUGAUUUAUAUUUAAUUUUUACAUGGUUCUCUCAUAUUCUUAAUUAACCUGGUGGUGGAUAAUGGCCUAUUGGUAUCUUGGUUUUAUGCCUAUGGGAUAUGGCAAGAGAUGAUGGUCUCAUGGAGCAUUGAUUUUACUUGAUGAUGAGGUAUUUCUUGCCUGUAUACAUUUGUAGCGAAGAAACAUUUUUUCUGGUUAUGAUAAUUAUACGUAUCAUGCAUUCAGUUUUACUCCAUGUUAUCGUUUAAUUUUGAUUCUGCAGAAGAUUUCAGUAGAACAUUGCUCUGCCGUGCUUGCAACAUCCUAAUAGACAUGUGGUUAGAACAGGGCAGCGCAUAUCGUCUCCCGGAUUAGAACAGGCAUGUGAGAAUUCUUGUGCCUCUAUUGUUUAUUUCUCAAUGUUGUUGUCAUACUAUGACAGCCAUGCAGUUUAUUGAUACCUUUGAAGAAUUAUUGAGGGAUUAUGCUAUGUAGUAGCCAAGAUGCAGCAGUCGAGGUAAUAAAUUUCAGGCUUUUGUAUUAUCCUCCCUGGCUUCCUCCUGAAUAACCACCCAACCGAUUUGGUUGUUCAUUUCCAUGACUGCACAGCCUGUUUGCGAUCCACAUUGGCCUCUGUCAAAAAGUUUAAGGUCUUGAACAAUGUAUGUGGUUCUGAAUAUACACUUGGGAGUCCACACAUAAUUAAAUCAUCUGGGAAUGAUGGGUUAUACUUCCUCAUUAAGCUUGCGUAAUGUUAGGAUAUGCAUCCACAAGAAAGGACCAUGAGCUCUAAGUAAAAUCAACACUAAAAUAGGCAGCUAUUCCGAGAACUGAUUUACAUGACUUAUUUUUCCCUUUGUUGUAGAUCUGCUCUUAUUAUUUUCCGUAUAUUCUAUUGAUAAUUUUGUCUACUAAAAAGGUGGGUACUCGUUAAGCAUGUCGUGGCUGAGUGUGUUUGUUCUAAAUUAUGAAUAACCAUAUAAAAUGUGUGACUCCGUCAGUUAUCAUCAUGACACAUGCCUUGAUCCUUCAAGAUUUUCCAUUUCUCUUUCCAUGAGUGAAUGCAUUAUAGAAAUGGCACAUUGAUUGAUUCAUUUUCUAAUGUAGUACCACAUUUAUACACAAGCAGAAAUCCUUAAUUUGGCACACGAGAAGGUUAAGAAGACCUGCAAAUUACGAUUACAGUACAGUUUUAUAUCCCAAUUAGUUGACCAUGCUCUUUUCUGUUUUAUUUGCUGAUGCAACCUACGAUAAGUUUAGUCAAGAUAUCUAUGGUCUCCUAGAUUGCCGAUGUGAGUUUGCUAUUCAGAAAUUUAUAUUUUUUGAUACUAACAAAGAAUCCAGUUGAUGUGUCCAUAGUUUUGUUUCUCUUAGCUAGGAUCUAGAUAAUGUAAAAAUACAAAUCAUUUA
This is a long non-coding RNA of Lolium rigidum, 1987 nucleotides long. RefSeq lists it as uncharacterized. The transcript is spliced from 5 exons. Lineage: Eukaryota; Viridiplantae; Streptophyta; Magnoliopsida; Poales; Poaceae. The record is from RefSeq and is a predicted model, not a curated record.